RNAcentral lists this long non-coding RNA (206 nucleotides) under Lathyrus oleraceus (garden pea). RNAcentral describes it as "Pisum sativum (pea) long non-coding RNA (PSAT_LNC027173)". Lineage: Eukaryota; Viridiplantae; Streptophyta; Magnoliopsida; Fabales; Fabaceae. The record is from RNAcentral.
UUGGCAAAUUUUUGCUAAAACAUAUAUCUGUCCUUUUUAUUCACAAGAAAAACUAUCAGCAGUUAAACAAUAGUUUAAGCAGCAGCAGUAGCAAACAGAAUUACUAGUUAUAAUAGCAACUAGUAAAACACACAAAUGCACAAGGAUACUUCUUCUCCCCCUAAGUCUGUUCAAUACAGACAUCUCUUUUAAUAAUAACAGCACCC